CAGCAGCCGCGGGAAUACAGAGGGUGCGAGCGUUAAUCGGAUUUACUGGGCGUAAAGCGUGCGUAGGCGGCUUCUUAAGUCGGAUGUGAAAUCCCUGAGCUUAACUUAGGAAUUGCAUUCGAUACUGGGAAGCUAGAGUAUGGGAGAGGAUGGUAGAAUUCCAGGUGUAGCGGUGAAAUGCGUAGAGAUCUGGAGGAAUACCGAUGGCGAAGGCAGCCAUCUGGCCUAAUACUGACGCUGAGGUACGAAAGCAUGGGGAGCAAACAGGAUUAGAUACCCCAGUAGUCCCUGUCCUUAUACA
This 301-nucleotide ribosomal RNA is filed under the name uncultured bacterium. Its description in RNAcentral is "partial 16S ribosomal RNA". It matches the Rfam family "Bacterial small subunit ribosomal RNA", at positions 509 to 809 of the family's 1533-position model. The record is from RNAcentral.